This 578-nucleotide ribosomal RNA is filed under the name Crassispira cerithina. RNAcentral's name for it is "Turridrupa cerithina partial 12S ribosomal RNA". The record is from RNAcentral. Lineage: Eukaryota; Metazoa; Mollusca; Gastropoda; Neogastropoda; Turridae.
AGCAGUCGCGGUUACACCAAGAAAUUAAGUCAUAUAGAAGGGUAAAAAGACAGUUAAAUUUAUAAAUAAAUUACAUAACUUUUUGUAGAAAAGUAAAAUUUGAAUACAAAUUUCUAAUCUAGCGGUAAUUUAUUGUAUUGAAGCUGUGAAAGCCUUGAGGGAAACUGGGAUUAGAUACCCCAUUAUUCUUGGCCUUAAACUAAUGAAUAUACAUUUACCAGAGUACUAUGAAUAUUAUAAAAUUUAAAACUCAAAGGGCUUGGCGGUGUUUUAGACCACUUAGGGGAACCUGUCUCGUAAUCGAUAGUCCACGAUAAACCUGACUUUUUUUUGUAAUCAACUUGUAUACCGUUGUCGUCAGGUAACUUUUUAGAAAUUAGAAGUUAGCUAUAAGAACAAUAAACUAAAACGUCAAAUCAAGGUGCAGUCUACGAAAGAGGGAGGAUGGGUUACAAUUAUAAAAUUAUAAUACGGAGGGCUAUUAGAAUUAAUAACCUGAAGGAGGACUUAAAAGUAAAAUAGAUUAUAUAAAUAUCUUGAAUAAGGCUCUGAAGCGUGCACACAUCGCCCGCCGCUCU